RNAcentral lists this ribosomal RNA (468 nucleotides) under uncultured bacterium. RNAcentral's name for it is "partial 16S ribosomal RNA". It matches the Rfam family "Bacterial small subunit ribosomal RNA", at positions 28 to 507 of the family's 1533-position model. The record is from RNAcentral.
GACGAACGCUGGCGGCGUGCUUAACACAUGCAAGUCGAACGGAGAGGCCCUGCUUUUGUGGGGUGCUCGAGUGGCGAACGGGUGAGUAACACGUGAGUAACCUGCCCUUGACUUUGGGAUAACUUCAGGAAACUGGGGCUAAUACCGGAUAGGAGCUCCUGCUGCAUGGUGGGGGUUGGAAAGUUUCGGCGGUUGGGGAUGGACUCGCGGCUUAUCAGCUUGUUGGUGGGGUAGUGGCUUACCAAGGCUUUGACGGGUAGCCGGCCUGAGAGGGUGACCGGCCACAUUGGGACUGAGAUACGGCCCAGACUCCUACGGGAGGCAGCAGUGGGGAAUAUUGCACAAUGGGCGGAAGCCUGAUGCAGCAACGCCGCGUGCGGGAUGACGGCCUUCGGGCUGUAAACCGCUUUCGCCUGUGACGAAGCGUGAGUGACGGUAAUGGGUAAAGAAGCACCGGCUAACUACGUG